UCGGUAUAGGAUGGGCUCGCGACCCAUUAGCUAGUUGGUGAGGUAACGGCCCACCAAGGCAACGAUGGGUAGCCGACCUGAGAGGGUGAUCGGCCACACUGGGACUGAGACACGGCCCAGACUCCUACGGGAGGCAGCAGUGGGGAAUAUUGGGCAAUGGAGGAAACUCUUACCCAGCAAUGCCGCGUGAAUGAAGAAGGUCUUCGGAUUGUAAAGUUCUUUAAUUGGGGACGAAAAAAAUGACGGUACCCAAGGAAUAAGCCCCGGCUAACUACGUGCCAGCAGCCGCGGUAAUACGUAGGGGGCAAGCGUUGUUCGGAAUGACUGGGCGUAAAGGGUGUGUAGGCGGUGUAGCAAGUUAGAAGUGAAAUACCUAGAGCUUAACUCAGGUGCUGCUUCUAAAACUGCUAUACUUGAGUGCAGUAGAGGAAAGUGGAAUUCCUAGUGUAGCGGUGGAAUGCGUAGAUAUUAGGAGGAACAUCACUGGCGAAGGCGACUUUCUGGACUGUAACUGACGCUGAGGCACGAAAGUGUGGGGAGCAAACAGGAUUAGAUACCCUGGUAGUCCACACUGUAAACGAUGGAUACUAGGUGUAGGAG
This 600-nucleotide ribosomal RNA is filed under the name uncultured bacterium. Its description in RNAcentral is "bacterial SSU rRNA". It matches the Rfam family "Bacterial small subunit ribosomal RNA", at positions 215 to 828 of the family's 1533-position model. The record is from RNAcentral.